RNAcentral lists this ribosomal RNA (520 nucleotides) under Macrococcoides caseolyticum. Its description in RNAcentral is "bacterial SSU rRNA". It matches the Rfam family "Bacterial small subunit ribosomal RNA", at positions 1 to 505 of the family's 1533-position model. Lineage: Bacteria; Bacillati; Bacillota; Bacilli; Caryophanales; Staphylococcaceae. The record is from RNAcentral.
UAGAGUUUGAUCCUGGCUCAGGAUGAACGCUGGCGGCGUGCCUAAUACAUGCAAGUCGAGCGAACGGACGAGAGUGCUUGCACUCUCUGAUGUUAGCGGCGGACGGGUGAGUAACACGUGGGUAACCUACCUAUAAGACUGGGAUAACUUCGGGAAACCGGAGCUAAUACCGGAUAAUAUUUAGCUUCGCAUGAAGCAAUAGUGAAAGACGGUUCUGCUGUCACUUAUAGAUGGACCCGCGGUGUAUUAGCUAGUUGGUGAGGUAACGGCUCACCAAGGCAACGAUACAUAGCCGACCUGAGAGGGUGAUCGGCCACACUGGGACUGAGACACGGCCCAGACUCCUACGGGAGGCAGCAGUAGGGAAUCUUCCGCAAUGGACGAAAGUCUGACGGAGCAACGCCGCGUGAGUGAAGAAGGUUUUCGGAUCGUAAAACUCUGUUGUAAGGGAAGAACAAGUACGUUAGUAACUGAACGUAUCCUUGACGGUACCUUACCAGAAAGCCACGGGCUAACUNAC